AUGGGAACGCGAAGAACCUUACCUAGACUUGACAUCUCCUGAAUAGUGUAGAGAUACAUGAAGCCCUUCGGGGCAGGAAGACAGGUGGUGCAUGGUUGUCGUCAGCUCGUGUCGUGAGAUGUUGGGUUAAGUCCCGCAGCGAGCGCAACCCUUAUUACUAGUUGCUACCAUUAAGUUGAGCACUCUAGUGAGACUGCCCGGGUUAACCGGGAGGAAGGCGGGGAUGACGUCAAAUCAUCAUGCCCCUUAUGUCUAGGGCAACACACGUGCUACAAUGGUGAGUACAGAUAGAUGCGAUACCGCAAGGUGGAGCCAAACUCUAAAACUCAUCCCAGUUCGGAUUGUAGGCUGCAACUCGCCUACAUGAAGUUGGAGUUGCUAGUAAUCGCGAAUCAGAAUGUCGCGGUGAAUACGUUCCCGGGUCUUGUACACACCG
This 436-nucleotide ribosomal RNA is filed under the name uncultured bacterium. Its description in RNAcentral is "bacterial SSU rRNA". It matches the Rfam family "Bacterial small subunit ribosomal RNA", at positions 954 to 1392 of the family's 1533-position model. The record is from RNAcentral.